RNAcentral lists this ribosomal RNA (673 nucleotides) under uncultured bacterium. RNAcentral describes it as "bacterial SSU rRNA". It matches the Rfam family "Bacterial small subunit ribosomal RNA", at positions 62 to 714 of the family's 1533-position model. The record is from RNAcentral.
UCGAACGCGAAAGUCCCGCAAGGGAUGAUUAGAGUGGCAAACGGGUGAGUAACACGUGGGUGACCUGCCUUCGAGUGGGGGAUAACGCUCCGAAAGGGACGCUAAUACCGCAUAACAUCCUGCCUUUUAAGAGGUGGAGAUCAAAGCCUGGGACCGCAAGGCCAGGCGCUUGACGAGGGGCCCGCGUCUGAUUAGCUAGUUGGUGGGGUAAUGGCUCACCAAGGCAACGAUCAGUAUCCGGCCUGAGAGGGCGGACGGACACACUGGGACUGAGACACGGCCCAGACUCCUACGGGAGGCAGCAGUGGGGAAUUGUUCGCAAUGGGCGCAAGCCUGACGACGCAACGCCGCGUGGAGGAUGAAGACCUUCGGGUCGUAAACUCCUUUCGAUCGAGACGAAUGGCCUCCGGGUGAACAAUCCGGAGGAGUGACGGUACCGAGAGAAGAAGCCCCGGCUAACUCCGUGCCAGCAGCCGCGGUAAUACGGGGGGGGCAAGCGUUGUUCGGAAUUACUGGGCGUAAAGGGCUCGUAGGUGGCCAACUAAGUCAGACGUGAAAUCCCUCGGCUUAACCGGGGAACUGCGUCUGAUACUGGAUGGCUUGAGUUUGGGAGAGGGACGCGGAAUUCCAGGUGUAGCGGUGAAAUGCGUAAAUAUCUGGAGGAACACCGGUG